This 253-nucleotide ribosomal RNA is filed under the name uncultured prokaryote. Its description in RNAcentral is "partial 16S ribosomal RNA". It matches the Rfam family "Bacterial small subunit ribosomal RNA", at positions 525 to 777 of the family's 1533-position model. The record is from RNAcentral.
ACGUAGGGUGCGAGCGUUAAUCGGAAUUACUGGGCGUAAAGCGUGCGCAGGCGGUUUUGUAAGACAGGCGUGAAAUCCCCGAGCUCAACUUGGGAAUGGCGCUUGUGACUGCAAGGCUAGAGUAUGUCAGAGGGGGGUAGAAUUCCACGUGUAGCAGUGAAAUGCGUAGAGAUGUGGAGGAACACCAGUGGCGAAGGCGACUUUCUGGUCUGUAACUGACGCUGAGGCGCGAAAGCGUGGGGAGCAAACAGGA